This 548-nucleotide ribosomal RNA is filed under the name uncultured bacterium. Its description in RNAcentral is "bacterial SSU rRNA". It matches the Rfam family "Bacterial small subunit ribosomal RNA", at positions 355 to 896 of the family's 1533-position model. The record is from RNAcentral.
UGGGGAAUUUUGGACAAUGGACGCAAGUCUNAUCCAGCCAUUCCGCGUGCAGGAUGAAGGCCCUCGGGUUGUAAACUGCUUUUGUACGGAACGAAAAGGUCUCUAUUAAUACUAGGGGCUCAUGACGGUACCGUAAGAAUAAGCACCGGCUAACUACGUGCCAGCAGCCGCGGUAAUACGUAGGGUGCAAGCGUUAAUCGGAAUUACUGGGCGUAAAGCGUGCGCAGGCGGUUAUAUAAGACAGAUGUGAAAUCCCCGGGCUCAACCUGGGAACUGCAUUUGUGACUGUAUAGCUAGAGUACGGUAGAGGGGGAUGGAAUUCCGCGUGUAGCAGUGAAAUGCGUAGAUAUGCGGAGGAACACCGAUGGCGAAGGCAAUCCCCUGGACCUGUACUGACGCUCAUGCACGAAAGCGUGGGGAGCAAACAGGAUUAGAUACCCUGGUAGUCCACGCCCUAAACGAUGUCAACUGGUUGUUGGGUCUUCACUGACUCAGUAACGAAGCUAACGCGUGAAGUUGACCGCCUGGGGAGUACGGCCGCAAGGUUG